UUCCAGACUCCUACGGGAGGCAGCAGUGGGGAAUAUUGCACAAUGGGGGGAACCCUGAUGCAGCGACGCCGCGUGGGUGAAGGAGCGUUUCGGCGCGUAAAGCCCUAUCGGCAGGGAAGAAGGAGGACGGUACCUGACUAAGAAGCCCCGGCUAACUACGUGCCAGCAGCCGCGGCAAUACGUAGGGGGCCAGCGUUAUCCGGAUUUACUGGGUGUAAAGGGGGCGCAGACGGCAGCGCAAGCCAGGAGUGAAAGCCCGGGGCCCAACCCCGGGACUGCUCUUGGAACUGCGCGGCUGGAGUGCAGGAGGGGCAGGCGGAAUUCCUGGUGUAGCGGUGAAAUGCGUAGAUAUCAGGAGGAACACCGGUGGCGAAGGCGGCCUGCUGGACUGCGACUGACGUUGAGGCCCGAAAGCGUGGGGAGCAAACAGGAUUAGAUACCCGUGUAG
This 448-nucleotide ribosomal RNA is filed under the name uncultured bacterium. RNAcentral's name for it is "partial 16S ribosomal RNA". It matches the Rfam family "Bacterial small subunit ribosomal RNA", at positions 329 to 793 of the family's 1533-position model. The record is from RNAcentral.